AGUGAACGCUGGCGGUAGGCCUAACACAUGCAAGUCGAACGGCAGCACAGUAAGAGCUUGCUCUUACGGGUGGCGAGUGGCGGACGGGUGAGGAAUACAUCGGAAUCUACUUUUUCGUGGGGGAUAACGUAGGGAAACUUACGCUAAUACCGCAUACGACCUACGGGUGAAAGCAGGGGAUCUUCGGACCUUGCGCGAUUGAAUGAGCCGAUGUCGGAUUAGCUAGUUGGCGGGGUAAAGGCCCACCAAGGCGACGAUCCGUAGCUGGUCUGAGAGGAUGAUCAGCCACACUGGAAGUGAGACACGGUCCAGACUCCUACGGGAGGCAGCAGUGGGGAAUAUUGGACAAUGGGCGCAAGCCUUAUCCAGCCAUACCGCGUGGGUGAAGAAGGCCUUCGGGUUGUAAAGCCCUUUUGUUGGGAAAGAAAAGCAGCAGGUUAAUACCCCGCUGUUCUGACGGUACCCAAAGAAUAAGCACCGGCUAACUUCGUG
RNAcentral lists this ribosomal RNA (492 nucleotides) under uncultured bacterium. RNAcentral describes it as "partial 16S ribosomal RNA". It matches the Rfam family "Bacterial small subunit ribosomal RNA", at positions 29 to 507 of the family's 1533-position model. The record is from RNAcentral.